GGGGGGACCAGUACAGAGUCAAUGUGGAGGCUAUAUACAGGGGGUACCGGUACAGAGUCAAUGUGGAGGAUAUAUACAGGGGGGUACCAGUACAGAGUCAAUGUGGAGGCUUUAUACAGGGGGUACCGGUACAGAGUCAAUGUGGAGGCAAUAUACAGGGGUUACCGGUACAGAGUCAAUGUGGAGGCUAUAUACAGGGGGUACCGGUACAGAGUCAACGUGGAGGCUAUAUACAGGGGGUACCGGUACAGAGUCAAUGUGGAGGCUAUAUACAGGGGUUACCGAUACAGAGUCAAUGUGGAGGAAAUAUACAGGGUGUUACGGUACAGAGUCAAUGUGGAGGCUAUAUACAGGGGGGUACCAGUACAGAGUCAAUGUGGAGACUAUAUACAGGGUGUUACGGUACAGAGUCAAUGUGGAGGCUAUAUACAGGGGGUACCAGUACAGAGUCAAUGUGGAGGCUAUAUACAGGGGGUACCGGUACAGAGUCAAUGUGGAGGCUAUAUACAGGGGGGUACCGGUACAGAGUCAAUGUGGAGGCUAUAUACAGGGAGUACCAGUACGGAGUCAAUGUGGAGACUGUAUACAGGGGGUACCGGUUCAGAGUCA
This 609-nucleotide long non-coding RNA is filed under the name Salmo salar (Atlantic salmon). RNAcentral's name for it is "lncRNA (ENSSSAG00000086561.1, ENSSSAG00000117215.1)". The record is from RNAcentral. Lineage: Eukaryota; Metazoa; Chordata; Actinopteri; Salmoniformes; Salmonidae.